CUUGACCUCAAAAAGUCUCUUCAGAGCUGCUGUGCCCAGUGGUGCUUCAACUGGUAUCUGUGCGGUCCUAGAACUCCAGGACAAUAAUAAGACUCACCAUAUGGGGAAGGGUGUCUCAAAGGCUGUUGAGUACAUCAAUAAAACUAUUGCACCUGCCCUGGUUAGAAAAAAACUGAACGUCACAGAACAAGAGAAGAUUGACCAACUGAUGAUCGAGAUGGAUGGAACAGAAAAUAAAUCUCAAUUUGUGGGAACGCUAUUCUGGGGUUUCCCUCGCCGCCUGCAAAGCUGGCGCUGUUGUGAAGGGGGUUCCCCUGUACCACCGCAUUGCCGACUUGCCUGGCAACCCCAAAGUCGUCUUGCCAGUCCUGGUGUUCAAUGUCAUCAAUGGCAGUUCUCAUGCUGGCAACAAGCUGGCCAACAAGCUGGCCACCAGUCGGUGUGGCAAACUUCAGGAAGCCAUGCCCAGUGGAGCAGAGGUUUACCACAACCUGAAGAAUGUCAUCAAGGAGAAAUAAGGGAAAGAUGCCACCAGCGUGGGGGAUGGAGGCGCAUUUGCUGCCAACAUCCUGGAGAAUAAAGAAGGCCUGGAGCUGCUGAAGACUGCGAUUGGGAAAGCUGGCUACACUGAUGAGGUGAUCAUCGGCAUGGACGCAGCGGCCUCCGAGUUCUUCAGGUCUGGGAAGUAUGACCUGGAAUUCAGGUCUCCCGAUGACCCCAUAAGGUACAUCUCACCUGACCAUCUGGCUGAUCUGUCCAAGUCCUGCAUCAAAAACUACCCAGUGGUGUCUGUCAAAGGUCCCUUUGACCAGGAUGACUGGGGAGCUUGGCAGAAGUUCACGGCCAGUGCAGGAAUCCAGGUAGUGAGGGAUGGUCUCACAGUGACCAGCCCAAAGAGGACGGCCGAGGCGGUGAAUGAGAAGGCGUGCAGCUGCCUCCUGCUCAAAGUGAACCAGAUUUGCUCCAUGACUGAGUCCCUCCGGGCGUGCAAGCUGGCCCAGGCCAGUGGUUGGGGUGUCAUGGUGUCUCAUCCUUCUGGGGAGACUGAAAAUACCUUCAUUGCUGACGUGGUGGUGGGGCUGUGCCCUGGCAGCUCAAGACUGGUGCCCCUUGCUGAUCUGAGCGCUUGGCCAAGUACAACCAGCUCCUCAGAACUGAAGAGGAGCUUGGCAGCAAGGCUAAGUUUGCUGGCAGGAACUUCAGAAACCCCCCGGCCAACUAAGCUGUGGGCAGGCAAGCCCUUCAGCCACCUGGUGGCUAAUUAGACCCCUCCCCUCGUGUCAGCUCGGGCAGCCGAAGGCCCCUGACCAACGUUUGUAGGGGCCGCUGCUAGUGAGCUCCCCUCGCCCACCGCCGUGGAGUUUGCACCGCUUCUUUAGAACUUCUACAGAAGCAGGUUGCAGUGAGCCGAGAUCAUGCCACUGCACUCCAGUCUGGUGACAGAGCGAGACUCCAUCUC
Molecule: RNA transcript, 1459 nt
Organism: Mandrillus leucophaeus (drill)
Lineage: Eukaryota; Metazoa; Chordata; Mammalia; Primates; Cercopithecidae
Gene name: alpha-enolase pseudogene
Exons: 1
Source: RefSeq, a predicted model, not a curated record